RNAcentral lists this ribosomal RNA (468 nucleotides) under uncultured bacterium. Its description in RNAcentral is "partial 16S ribosomal RNA". It matches the Rfam family "Bacterial small subunit ribosomal RNA", at positions 28 to 507 of the family's 1533-position model. The record is from RNAcentral.
GACGAACGCUGGCGGCGUGCUUAACACAUGCAAGUCGAACGGAAAGGCCCUGCUUUUGUGGGGUGCUCGAGUGGCGAACGGGUGAGUAACACGUGAGUAACCUGCCCUUGACUUUGGGAUAACUUCAGGAAACUGGGGCUAAUACCGGAUAGGAGCUCCUGCUGCAUGGUGGGGGCUGGAAAGUUUCGGCGGUUGGGGAUGGACUCGCGGCUUAUCAGCUUGUUGGUGGGGUAGUGGCUUACCAAGGCUUUGACGGGUAGCCGGCCUGAGAGGGUGACCGGCCACAUUGGGACUAAGGUACGGCCCAGACUCCUACGGGGGGCAGCAGUGGGGAAUAUUGCACAGUGGGCGGAAGCCUGAUGCAGCAGCGCCGCGUGCGGGAUGACGGCCUUCGGGUUGUAAACCGCUUUCGCCUGUGACGAAGCGUGAGUGACGGUAAUGGGUAAAGAAGCACCGGCUAACUACGUG